RNAcentral lists this ribosomal RNA (350 nucleotides) under Milnesium tardigradum. RNAcentral describes it as "SSU rRNA". It matches the Rfam family "Eukaryotic small subunit ribosomal RNA", at positions 38 to 379 of the family's 1831-position model. The record is from RNAcentral. Lineage: Eukaryota; Metazoa; Tardigrada; Eutardigrada; Apochela; Milnesiidae.
UAAAGAUUAAGCCAUGCAUGUCUAAGUACUUGCUUUAACAAGGCGAAACCGCGAAUGGCUCAUUAAAUCAGUUAUGGUUCACUAGAUCGUAUCAAUCCUACAUGGAUAACUGUGGUAAUUCUAGAGCUAAUACAUGCAAUGAAGCUGUCUGGCCUUGUGUCAGCAGCGCAGUUAUUAGAUUAAAACCAAUAUAGGCUUUCGGGUCUAUUAACUUGUGAUGAAUCUGAAUAACCGAAGCAAAGCGCAUGGUCUCGUACCGGCGCUAGAUCUUUCAAGUGUCUGAUCUAUCAGCUUGUCGUUAGGUUAUGUUCCUAACGUGGCUUCGACGGGUAACGGGGUAUCAGGGUCCG